GGGACACGUGGUAUCCUGUCUGAAUAUGGGGGGACCAUCCUCCAAGGCUAAAUACUCCUGACUGACCGAUAGUGAACCAGUACCGUGAGGGAAAGGCGAAAAGAACCCCGGCGAGGGGAGUGAAAAAGAACCUGAAACCGUGUACGUACAAGCAGUGGGAGCACAGAGCAAUCUGUGUGACUGCGUACCUUUUGUAUAAUGGGUCAGCGACUUAUAUUCUGUAGCAAGGUUAACCGAAUAGGGGAGCCGAAGGGAAACCGAGUCUUAACUGGGCGUUAAGUUGCAGGGUAUAGACCCGAAACCCGGUGAUCUAGCCAUGGGCAGGUUGAAGGUUGGGUAACACUAACUGGAGGACCGAACCGACUAAUGUUGAAAAAUUAGCGGAUGACUUGUGGCUGGGGGUGAAAGGCCAAUCAAACCGGGAGAUAGCUGGUUCUCCCCGAAAGCUAUUUAGGUAGCGCCUCGUGAAUUCAUCUCCGGGGGUAGAGCACUGUUUCGGCAAGGGGGUCAUCCCGACUUACCAACCCGAUGCAAACUGCGAAUACCGGAGAAUGUUAUCACGGGAGACACACGGCGGGUGCUAACGUCCGUCGUGAAGAGGGAAACAACCCAGACCGCCAGCUAAGGUCCCAAAGUCAUGGUUAAGUGGGAAACGAUGUGGGAAGGCCCAGACAGCCAGGAUGUUGGCUUAGAAGCAGCCAUCAUUUAAAGAAAGCGUAAUAGCUCACUGGUCGAGUCGGCCUGCGCGGAAGAUGUAACGGGGCUAAACCAUGCACCGAAGCUGCGGCAGCGACACUAUGUGUUGUUGGGUAGGGGAGCGUUCUGUAAGCCUGUGAAGGUGUACUGUGAGGUAUGCUGGAGGUAUCAGAAGUGCGAAUGCUGACAUAAGUAACGAUAAAGCGGGUGAAAAGCCCGCUCGCCGGAAGACCAAGGGUUCCUGUCCAACGUUAAUCGGGGCAGGGUGAGUCGACCCCUAAGGCGAGGCCGAAAGGCGUAGUCGAUGGGAAACAGGUUAAUAUUCCUGUACUUGGUGUUACUGCGAAGGGGGGACGGAGAAGGCUAUGUUGGCCGGGCGACGGUUGUCCCGGUUUAAGCGUGUAGGCUGGUUUUCCAGGCAAAUCCGGAAAAUCAAGGCUGAGGCGUGAUGACGAGGCACUACGGUGCUGAAGCAACAAAUGCCCUGCUUCCAGGAAAAGCCUCUAAGCAUCAGGUAACAUCAAAUCGUACCCCAAACCGACACAGGUGGUCAGGUAGAGAAUACCAAGGCGCUUGAGAGAACUCGGGUGAAGGAACUAGGCAAAAUGGUGCCGUAACUUCGGGAGAAGGCACGCUGAUAUGUAGGUGAAGUCCCUCGCGGAUGGAGCUGAAAUCAGUCGAAGAUACCAGCUGGCUGCAACUGUUUAUUAAAAACACAGCACUGUGCAAACACGAAAGUGGACGUAUACGGUGUGACGCCUGCCCGGUGCCGGAAGGUUAAUUGAUGGGGUCAGCGCAAGCGAAGCUCUUGAUCGAAGCCCCGGUAAACGGCGGCCGUAACUAUAACGGUCCUAAGGUAGCGAAAUUCCUUGUCGGGUAAGUUCCGACCUGCACGAAUGGCGUAAUGAUGGCCAGGCUGUCUCCACCCGAGACUCAGUGAAAUUGAACUCGCUGUGAAGAUGCAGUGUACCCGCGGCAAGACGGAAAGACCCCGUGAACCUUUACUAUAGCUUGACACUGAACAUUGAGCCUUGAUGUGUAGGAUAGGUGGGAGGCUUUGAAGUGUGGACGCCAGUCUGCAUGGAGCCGACCUUGAAAUACCACCCUUUAAUGUUUGAUGUUCUAACGUUGACCCGUGAUCCGGGUUGCGGACAGUGUCUGGUGGGUAGUUUGACUGGGGCGGUCUCCUCCUAAAGAGUAACGGAGGAGCACGAAGGUUGGCUAAUCCUGGUCGGACAUCAGGAGGUUAGUGCAAUGGCAUAAGCCAGCUUGACUGCGAGCGUGACGGCGCGAGCAGGUGCGAAAGCAGGUCAUAGUGAUCCGGUGGUUCUGAAUGGAAGGGCCAUCGCUCAACGGAUAAAAGGUACUCCGGGGAUAACAGGCUGAUACCGCCCAAGAGUUCAUAUCGACGGCGGUGUUUGGCACCUCGAUGUCGGCUCAUCACAUCCUGGGGCUGAAGUAGGUCCCAAGGGUAUGGCUGUUCGCCAUUUAAAGUGGUACGCGAGCUGGGUUUAGAACGUCGUGAGACAGUUCGGUCCCUAUCUGCCGUGGGCGCUGGAGAACUGAGGGGGGCUGCUCCUAGUACGAGAGGACCGGAGUGGACGCAUCACUGGUGUUCGGGUUGUCAUGCCAAUGGCACUGCCCGGUAGCUAAAUGCGGAAGAGAUAAGUGCUGAAAGCAUCUAAGCACGAAACUUGCC
RNAcentral lists this ribosomal RNA (2395 nucleotides) under Escherichia coli. Its description in RNAcentral is "partial 23S ribosomal RNA". It matches the Rfam family "Bacterial large subunit ribosomal RNA", at positions 419 to 2798 of the family's 2925-position model. The record is from RNAcentral. Lineage: Bacteria; Pseudomonadati; Pseudomonadota; Gammaproteobacteria; Enterobacterales; Enterobacteriaceae.